This 284-nucleotide unclassified non-coding RNA is filed under the name uncultured fungus. RNAcentral describes it as "partial contains 5.8S ribosomal RNA, internal transcribed spacer 2, and large subunit ribosomal RNA". The stretch from base 1 to 52 matches the Rfam family "5.8S ribosomal RNA", at positions 103 to 154 of the family's 154-position model. The record is from RNAcentral. Lineage: Eukaryota; Fungi.
AACGCAUCUUGCGCCCGGUGGUAUUCCGCCGGGCAUGCCUGUCUGAGUGUCAUUACUAUCUCAACCCUAGCGAUGUUGUUAUGACGUUGCUCAGCGGAUUGGAACUUGGACUUGGCAGGGUUCGCCCUGCCGGUCUUAAAUGUAGUAGGCUAGCCGACUAUCAGCGGUUUGACCGGGUGUUGUAGAGUCGCCUCACUCGGGACGCUGAUCGGAUUAGUUAAUUGUAAUUGAAUUACUCGAGCGAUUUAGACCUCAGAUCAGGUAGGAUUACCCGCUGAACUUAU